AGGCAGAGACAUGAAGGCUGGCGCUCAUCUGACUUUCUUCUUUUUAUGGAGCCCAGGACCUUAGGCCAUGCCACAGCAUCAUCCAUAGUUGAUUAGUUAAUGUGACCCUGAUAAUCCACACACACACACACACACACACACACACACACACACACACACACACACACGCCAGAAAUUUGUCUUUUCAGUGGCUCUAGCUCCUGUCAAACUGACUAUCAAUAUUUAUCACCCAGGCCUUAUCUAAAUGCACAAGCCAUUGGAAGGAGCUCAGUUGAGAUGGCAUGGCCAGGCUUGCAUUUGAGAAAUUUGAAUCAAGGGAGAUUGUCUGGGCAAGAGCAGAGCAGCUGGCAGACCCUCUGCUAUCUGUGGAGAUUCAGCUUCUGCAGGGGAGAGGAUGAUGCACCCAGUUUUGGUCAGGCUAUACAUCAUACACCUGAGAGACAUUCAGGAUCAUGGUCCAAGAAAGGAAUCUGGAAGGAGGUGUUUCAGCCUGGCUUCAAGAAGUUAGCAUAGUUAUAAACAGAACCCAUGGAGGUGGUUGAGAUUGCUUGUUUGAAUGGGACAUCAUACAAAGCCUUGGCCCAAAAGAUUCUGGAAAUACAAACUAUGGAACAGAAAGAAACACUUGCAAAUCAAAUAUCAGAUAUCAAACAUCAAAUACCAAAGGUUUGUCUCCUGAUUAUACAAAGACCUCUCCAAAGUCAAUGAGUAAGAAUAGUCAAAUUGAACAUAUUAUUGGAAAAAGACUUAUAUAGAUAACUUCACAAAAUUGGAC
Molecule: long non-coding RNA, 775 nt
Filed under: Cricetulus griseus (Chinese hamster)
Lineage: Eukaryota; Metazoa; Chordata; Mammalia; Rodentia; Cricetidae
Description: lncRNA (ENSCGRG00000026639.1)
Source: RNAcentral